Molecule: transfer RNA, 74 nt
Filed under: Candidatus Blochmanniella floridana
Lineage: Bacteria; Pseudomonadati; Pseudomonadota; Gammaproteobacteria; Enterobacterales; Enterobacteriaceae
Description: tRNA-Arg (CCG) (tRNA-Arg-CCG-1-1)
Rfam family: tRNA
About the family: Transfer RNA (tRNA) molecules are approximately 80 nucleotides in length. Their secondary structure includes four short double-helical elements and three loops (D, anti-codon, and T loops). Further hydrogen bonds mediate the characteristic L-shaped molecular structure. tRNAs have two regions of fundamental functional importance: the anti-codon, which is responsible for specific mRNA codon recognition, and the 3' end, to which the tRNAs corresponding amino acid is attached (by aminoacyl-tRNA synthetases). tRNAs cope with the degeneracy of the genetic code in two manners: having more than one tRNA (with a specific anti-codon) for a particular amino acid; and 'wobble' base-pairing, i.e. permitting non-standard base-pairing at the 3rd anti-codon position.
Source: RNAcentral
GCGUCCGUAGCUUAAUUGGAUAGAGCAUUGCCCUCCGAAGGCAAAGGUGUCAGGUUCGAUCCCUGUCGGGCGCA